AAUUAAGUCACUCUAGCCAGAGAUGGAAACUAUCUUAUUGGUGUUACAUUGUUCUUUGCUUUACAUGAUUUCUAGGUGGUGACCAUUGGGGCUUUCCUUUUCUUUGUGGAUUAAAUGAUCUCCUAUUAGACCCAUAUGUGGAAUUCUAAGUAUUCAACUGGUUUCUUCACUCUUUGUUGCGGCGGGGACACAGCUGGUCCUGAGAAGGCAUCAUACUCAGACAAGCCUGCAAGAUUGCAUUCAUUCCUGUUGUUUCCGUUAGUGAUGCUCGUCCAUGGAAUGAUAAUCUAAUUUUCCUCCGUGGGUUGAUGUUCUGUCAUCAGAGGAGUGUCAGGAAGACCUAUUACAGAGCAGACAUCUAAGAUGAGGUAUGUGGUAGACAAAAAUGUCUGUGACAAUACCCUACAGAGUCUUCAUUACAGAUGACACGCUUAUCCAUAUAGGGGGGGAAACAGCUUUAAACUCAGAUCUGUGAAGAUGAAUGGACAAAAUGAGCUGAAUAAGAUAAAAUUCAAGAUACAAGAAUAUUUAAGAUACAAGGUAUAUCUUAAUGAGUAGCAUAUUAGACCAACUAUUAUCCAUCACAGAAAAUAAUUCAUCAUUGAACAAAAGUCUGGUUUGUUGAGUAAUUUUCUGGCAAAUAACAUCACCUAAUUUUUAUUUUUGUUGAAAUUUAGGGAUUGCUAAUGGAUUUGAACCGGAAGGGAACCCUUUAGAACUGACUAAUAGAGCUAGUGUGAGAAUUGGUCAACAGGAGGUCUUGACUCAGGAUACUGCAGAAAGAGUCA
RNAcentral lists this long non-coding RNA (788 nucleotides) under Canis lupus familiaris (dog). Its description in RNAcentral is "lncRNA (ENSCAFG00845016140.1)". The record is from RNAcentral. Lineage: Eukaryota; Metazoa; Chordata; Mammalia; Carnivora; Canidae.